GGCAGCUAGAGAGGGAUGCUGGGUCUGGGGCUUGCAAUCAAGUGCCGCAGCCGGAAUCAUCAAGCUUGAAGGAGUGACACAAAGGCCUGGGGCCACUGAAGAUGACCCACGGGUGCCUCUGCCAAGGCCAGUCCAGGACAGUGGUGUUGAGCGUCCAGAGCCACCAGGGUGGCACCAAGAUGAUGGUCCCCCAGGAGCCACCUCUGCUCAGCCUGGCCUUGUCUGCUUCCACGGCAAUGUGGUUCCUUCCCAUCUGUCCAUGCCAUGAGCUGCCUGUCCUUUCAAAUAUUUCCACUCUCAAGGGAUUUUGCAGCCAUCCCUGGAUCUCCUUCCUGCUGGACUAAUAGCUCAGAGGGCAUGCCCAUCUUUAACCCUAACCCCCAUUUCUCCCAGAUCCAAUGAUGUUACAGUUGAAUGAUAUCCCCUCAAAAAGAUAUGUUGACAUCCUAAUCCCUGGUACCUCAAAGUGUGGUGUUAUCUGUAAACAGCGUCUUUGCAGACAUAGUUAAGAGUUGUACUGGAGUACCAUGGACCCCUAAUCCAAUGCAAUUAGUGUCCUUGUAAGAAGACAGCCAUGUGAGGACACAGGCAGCUGAAUAAAGGAAUGACUGCCUACACAGAGGAACUAAAACUCCUCCACCCUGGCAGGGGCAAGAGAGGGAGUGGCAGGGCUGGAAACAGUAAACACA
Molecule: long non-coding RNA, 689 nt
Filed under: Rhinopithecus bieti (black snub-nosed monkey)
Lineage: Eukaryota; Metazoa; Chordata; Mammalia; Primates; Cercopithecidae
Description: lncRNA (ENSRBIG00000045069.1)
Source: RNAcentral